This 597-nucleotide ribosomal RNA is filed under the name uncultured bacterium. Its description in RNAcentral is "bacterial SSU rRNA". It matches the Rfam family "Bacterial small subunit ribosomal RNA", at positions 912 to 1533 of the family's 1533-position model. The record is from RNAcentral.
GACGGGGACCCGCACAAGCGGUGAAGCAUGUGGUUUAAUUCGAAGCAACGCGAAGAACCUUACCAGGCCUUGAGAUCCGGAUGAAUAGCAGGUAAUGCUGCUAGCUCUUCGGAGCAACCGAGACAGGUGGUGCAUGGUUGUCGUCAGCUCGUGUCGUGAGAUGUUGGGUCAAGUCCCGCAACGAGCGCAACCCUUGCCAUCAGUAGCCAGCACGUAGAGGUGGGCACUCUGAUGGGACUGCCGGGGACAACCCGGAGGAAGGUGGGGAUGACGUCAAAUCAUCAUGCCCCUUAUGGCCUGGGCUACACACGUGCUACAAUGGCGCACACAAAGGGAAGCGAAGGCGUGAGCCGGAGCGAAUCCCAAAAAAGGCGCCUCAGUUCGGACUGUAGUCUGCAACCCGACUACACGAAGCUGGAAUCGCUAGUAAUCGCAGAUCAGAAUGCUGCGGUGAAUACGUUCCCGGGUCUUGUACACACCGCCCGUCACACCAUGGGAGUCAGAAAUGCCCGAAGCCGGUGUGCUAACCCCUCAUGAAUAUGAGCCGCAUUGGUUGCGAAACGAAGUUUCGCAACACUGAAAAAGAAUACGUCCCGA